CCUACGGGCGGCAGCAGUGGGGAAUAUUGGACAAUGGGGGCAACCCUGAUCCAGCCAUGCCGCGUGUGUGAAGAAGGCCCUCGGGUUGUAAAGCACUUUCAGUGAGGAAGAACGCCUGGUGGUUAAUACCCAUCAGGAAAGACAUCACUCACAGAAGAAGCACCGGCUAACUCCGUGCCAGCAGCCGCGGUAAUACGGAGGGUGCGAGCGUUAAUCGGAAUUACUGGGCGUAAAGCGCGCGUAGGUGGCUUGAUAAGCCGGUUGUGAAAGCCCCGGGCUCAACCUGGGAACGGCAUCCGGAACUGUCAAGCUAGAGUGCAGGAGAGGAAGGUAGAAUUCCCGGUGUAGCCGUGAAAUGCGUAGAGAUCGGGAGGAAUACCAGUGGCGAAGGCGGCCUUCUGGACUGACACUGACACUGAGGUGCGAAAGCGUGGGUAGCAAACAGGAUUAGAUACCCGAGUAGUC
This 465-nucleotide ribosomal RNA is filed under the name Vreelandella stevensii. RNAcentral's name for it is "partial 16S ribosomal RNA". It matches the Rfam family "Bacterial small subunit ribosomal RNA", at positions 338 to 795 of the family's 1533-position model. Lineage: Bacteria; Pseudomonadati; Pseudomonadota; Gammaproteobacteria; Oceanospirillales; Halomonadaceae. The record is from RNAcentral.